UACGGGGGGGGCAAGCGUUGUUCGGAAUUACUGGGCGUAAAGGGUUCGUAGGCGGCUUGUUAAGUCAGACGUGAAAUCCCUCGGCUCAACCGGGGAACUGCGUCUGAGACUGAUGAGCUCGAGUGCAGGAGAGGAACGCGGAAUUCCAGGUGUAGCGGUGAAAUGCGUAGAUAUCUGGAGGAACACCGGUGGCGAAGGCGGCGUUCUGGACUGCAACUGACACUGAGGAACGAAAGCCAGGGGAGCAAACGGG
This 253-nucleotide ribosomal RNA is filed under the name uncultured bacterium. RNAcentral describes it as "partial 16S ribosomal RNA". It matches the Rfam family "Bacterial small subunit ribosomal RNA", at positions 524 to 776 of the family's 1533-position model. The record is from RNAcentral.